AACGAACGCUGGCGGCAGGCCUAACACAUGCAAGUCGAACGCUGCAGCAAUGCAGAGUGGCAGACGGGUGAGUAACGCGUGGGAACCUUCCCAGUGGUACGGAAUAGCCCAGGGAAACUUGGGGUAAUACCGUAUAAGCCCUUAGGGGGAAAGAUUUAUCGCCAUUGGAUGGGCCCGCGUCGGAUUAGCUAGUUGGUGAGGUAACGGCCCACCAAGGCGACGAUCCGUAGCUGGUCUGAGAGGAUGAUCAGCCACACUGGGACUGAGACACGGCCCAGACUCCUACGGGAGGCAGCAGUGGGGAAUAUUGGACAAUGGGCGCAAGCCUGAUCCAGCCAUGCCGCGUGAGUGACGAAGGCCUUAGGGUUGUAAAGCUCUUUUGGCGGGGACGAUAAUGACGGUACCCGCAGAAUAAGCUCCGGCUAACUUCGUGCCAGCCGCCGCAGUAA
Molecule: ribosomal RNA, 449 nt
Filed under: uncultured bacterium
Lineage: Bacteria
Description: partial 16S ribosomal RNA
Rfam family: Bacterial small subunit ribosomal RNA
Source: RNAcentral